UUUGGUUUGAUUGCCUCAAUCCAUAGCUGUUUCAUCCCAUCCCCUUCUCUUUGUCCGCGCAUCUGGAUUUUUGUUGGGUCUAUACGGCGAAUCUAUAAAAAAACCAUGGCGAGGUCAGCUUGGUCUAAGAGUACGUCGGUGAGGUGUUGCGUUACUGCCUCCGAUUAUUCGGUAUGUAUCUCACUAUAUGAUCCAUUAAAAUAUCAUUAUAUAUAUGCGUGUUUUUUUCUAACAAUUCUAAUCUACAACGAAACAUUUUAUGUGCAAUCAAUAAAUAGUGAUAAGCAAAAGGAGCGUGGAAGACAAUGUAAAUCUCAAAGCAUUGGUGAAAAUGUUACUUUUACAAUUGCAUUUAGCUGCUCAUUUCAUUAUUUAGCGCCAUCAUAAUUUAGUUACUUGUUAAAUAUCGUGUUAUCAGAUAAUAAUGGUAGUAACAGUGUAGCUAGUAUAUUAACCAAUAAUAUUAAUAUUAUUUGUUAAAUUAUUAUUAAAAUUAAUCCUACCAAGUAUAUUUUGGAUGCUCUCAUAGAUGGAUGUGGAGUCUAUUUUUGAUGACACAUAAGACGGCUAGUGCAGGUGGUACAAACUCUCGGUGGUUAGAUGAAGAGGAAGAUGGCUUGGUGGAUAACAUGGUUCCCUUCAUCGGCGAAGGAUAUGUUUUCCGGAAAAAACAUAUUUAAAGAUGGAUUCGAAAGCAGACAUUUAAUUCUUAAUGAGGAUUAAGCAAAGGCAAAAAGAAAAACGAGCUAACAAUGGCAAUGGUAUAUUGAGGGAGGUCCGUAAAUUGAUCGAGCGGCUGCUUGGAGAAGGCAGUUAACCACUACAGUUAUGUUUGUUUGUGGCACAUAACUAAUCAUGUUAACCAUUAAAACGAAGUGAUGAACCUAUCUGACUGUUGUUGCACUCUCAUGUUAACCAUCAAAAGAAGUGACAAACUACGACCAUAUAUUUUACUAGACUAUUAGCUGUUAAAUGUGUUCUCCUCCGCUAAAACAUUAUAUUUGCGUAUUUAUUUUUAAUCUUCUUAGUCAUAUAUGUGUGUUAACAACUGGGGAUGGCAGUUAAUUGUAUGUUUGUUCCGCUAAGACAUACACUAACUUCUAGAUUCCCACCACAAUAUUUAG
This 1124-nucleotide long non-coding RNA is filed under the name Brassica napus (rape). RNAcentral describes it as "long non-coding RNA (BNAP_LNC000639)". The record is from RNAcentral. Lineage: Eukaryota; Viridiplantae; Streptophyta; Magnoliopsida; Brassicales; Brassicaceae.